Bufo bufo (common toad) is the source of this 1463-nucleotide RNA transcript. It is a transcript of the gene named calcium homeostasis modulator family member 2, with no coding region annotated. The transcript has 4 exons. NCBI's taxonomy places the organism in Eukaryota, Metazoa, Chordata, Amphibia, Anura, Bufonidae. The record is from RefSeq and is a predicted model, not a curated record.
GGACACACCCGGGGAGGGCUCUGGACUGUGCGCUUCUUCAGGAGCGUCUUGUGGAGCUGUCCCCAGCCGGGCUGCAGAGGCUGAAGACCCCCAGAAGUGGCUUGUGAAGCUUGCACUUUUUUCUUGACUGGACUUUAACCCGCAGAAGUAUGGCCGCCUUAAUAUCUGAAAACUUGAAGUUCUUUUCUCUGUUCUUCAGGAGCAGAGAUGUGAUGAUAUUCAAUGGACUGGUUGCGUUGGGAACGGUUGGCAGCCAGGAGUUGUUCUCGGUGGUGGCUUUCCACUGCCCUUGUUCUCCGGAGAGAAACUAUAUGUAUGGACUGGCAGCUAUUGGAGUGCCAGUCCUUGUCUUGUUUCUCAUUGGCAUCAUACUAAAUAACCACACCUGGAAUCUCGUAGCAGAGUGUCGGAAAAGGGCGGUGAAGAACUGUUCAAUUCCAUCUACUUUCUUGUUAUUUGGAUCCAUAGCAGGGAGGGCAGCAGUAGCCCCUGUGACCUGGACUGUCAUUUCACUCCUCCGGGGAGAGGCCUAUGUGUGCGCCCGCAGUGAGUUCUUGAACCCGUUAACAUUUCCAAAUUUCCCUCUGGACAAAGGACGAGAAGACAUAGCUAAAUUUCCAUGCAAGGACACCCCACCUGAUCUUAUUAUCUUUAAAGAAGAAGUUAUACGGAGGUUAAAGUAUGAAUCACAGUUUCUCGGCUGGAUUCUGAUUGCUGUGGUUGCUUCAAUGAUAUUCCUUCUAAAGUGCUUGCACCAUUGCUGUUCUCCUUUAAGUUAUCACCAGGAAGCAUAUUGGAGCCAGUACCGCAACUGUGAGAAAGAGCUCUUCAACCGCACUGCCGAAGUCCACGCCAAGGUUCUAGCGGCCAGUAACGUCAAGCAAUUUUUUGGCUUUGUGGCUUUGAAUACAGAAGAGAAGGAAAUGGUUAGGGAGUAUCCGGUGGAUGAGGCUCAGCCAAGUCCUCAGUGGAAUGAAAUCACAGGGCUGUACCUGUAUCGGGAAAACAAAGGCUUCCCCUUGUACAGCCGUCUUCACAAAUGGGCUAAAAAGUUAAUCGGGAAUGGCACAGAUAAUGUCAAAGAAACUGCACUGCUUGCAAUGUGAGAUGGUGAUUAUUUGACGUAGCAUUAAGAGGAAGUCCACUGGCUCGCAAGAUACAUUAAAGGGAACCUGUCAUCAACUUUAUGCUGCCCAUACUAACGGCAGUAUAAAGUAGAGACAGGCGUUCGGCACUUCUGGAGCAAUGCUGGAUAAAGCGAAUUUGUGGUGUAAGCCAGUGCUGCUUUGGUCUGUGUUUGGAGGUUCUGAGGGUAGGGGGCUUCGUCCAGGGUGAUUCUGGGAUGGACUCAGAUUUGUGAGAGUGAAGGAGAGGACGUUGUGGUCAGAGAGAGGUGAAUUAUUAAAGUUGGAAAUUAAACAAAGCCGGAACAAGACCAGGUGUGUUACUGUCUUUGUGUCUGA